This 253-nucleotide ribosomal RNA is filed under the name uncultured bacterium. RNAcentral's name for it is "partial 16S ribosomal RNA". It matches the Rfam family "Bacterial small subunit ribosomal RNA", at positions 524 to 776 of the family's 1533-position model. The record is from RNAcentral.
UACGUAGGAGACGAGCGUUGUUCGGAGUUACUGGGCGUAAAGGGCGCGUAGGCGGCGCACCAAGUCAGGCGUGAAAGCCCUGGGCUCAACCCGGGAAUUGCGCUUGAGACUGGUGUGCUUGAGUACGGGAGAGGAUAGUGGAAUUCCCAGUGUAGAGGUGAAAUUCGUAGAUAUUGGGAAGAACACCGGUGGCGAAGGCGGCUAUCUGGACCGUAACUGACGCUGAGGCGCGAAAGCGUGGGGAGCAAACAGG